This 800-nucleotide ribosomal RNA is filed under the name uncultured bacterium. Its description in RNAcentral is "bacterial SSU rRNA". It matches the Rfam family "Bacterial small subunit ribosomal RNA", at positions 9 to 797 of the family's 1533-position model. The record is from RNAcentral.
GAGUUUGAUCCUGGCUCAGGAUGAACGCUAGCGGCAGGCUUAAUACAUGCAAGUCGUGGGGCAGCAGUCCCGCAGCAAUGCGGGAGCUGGCGACCGGCAAACGGGUGCGGAACACGUACACAACCUUCCUUUAAGUGGGGGAUAGCCCAGGGAAACUUGGAUUAAUACCCCGUAAUAUAUAGAAGCGGCAUCGCUUUUAUAUUAUAGCAGCAAUGCGCUUGAAGAUGGGUGUGCGGCUGAUUAGAUAGUUGGCGGGGUAACGGCCCACCAAGUCGACGAUCAGUAACUGGUGUGAGAGCACGACCAGUCACACGGGCACUGAGACACGGGCCCGACUCCUACGGGAGGCAGCAGUAAGGAAUAUUGGUCAAUGGACGCAAGUCUGAACCAGCCAUGCCGCGUGGAGGAUGAAGGUCCUCUGGAUUGUAAACUUCUUUUAUCUGGGAAGAAAUCCACUUUUUCUAGAGUGGUUGACGGUACCAGAUGAAUAAGCACCGGCUAACUCCGUGCCAGCAGCCGCGGUAAUACGGAGGGUGCAAGCGUUAUCCGGAUUCACUGGGUUUAAAGGGUGCGUAGGUGGGCAAGUAAGUCAGUGGUGAAAUCUCCGGGCUUAACCCGGAAACUGCCAUUGAUACUAUUUGUCUUGAAUACUGUGGAGGUCAGCGGAAUAUGUCAUGUAGCGGUGAAAUGCUUAGAUAUGACAUAGAACACCAAUUGCGAAAGGCAGCUGGCUACACAAAUAUUGACACUGAGGCACGAAAGCGUGGGGAUCAAACAGGAUUAGAUACCCUGGUAGUCCA